UACGUAGGGUGCAAGCGUUGUCCGGAAUUAUUGGGCGUAAAGAGCUCGUAGGCGGUUUGUCGCGUCGGCUGUGAAAUCUCGGGGCUUAACCCCGAGCCUGCAGUCGAUACGGGCAGACUUGAGUUCGGUAGGGGAGACUGGAAUUCCUGGUGUAGCGGUGAAAUGCGCAGAUAUCAGGAGGAACACCGGUGGCGAAGGCGGGUCUCUGGGCAACAACUGACGCUGAGGAGCGAAAGCGUGGGGAGCGAACAGG
Molecule: ribosomal RNA, 253 nt
Filed under: uncultured bacterium
Lineage: Bacteria
Description: partial 16S ribosomal RNA
Rfam family: Bacterial small subunit ribosomal RNA
Source: RNAcentral